This 274-nucleotide ribosomal RNA is filed under the name uncultured bacterium. RNAcentral describes it as "partial 16S ribosomal RNA". It matches the Rfam family "Bacterial small subunit ribosomal RNA", at positions 523 to 796 of the family's 1533-position model. The record is from RNAcentral.
AUACGGAGGGAGCAAGCGCUAUUCGGAAUCACUGGGCGUAAAGGACGCGUAGGCGGGUUUGUAAGUCAGGUGUGAAAUCCUACAGCUCAACUGUAGAACUGCACUUGAAACUACAGACCUAGAGUAUGGAAGGGGCAGAUGGAAUUAGUGGUGUAGGGGUAAAAUCCAUAGAUAUCACUAGGAAUACCGAAAGCGAAGGCGAUCUGCUGGGACAUUACUGACGCUGAGGCGUGAAAGCGUGGGGAGCGAACAGGAUUAGAAACCCGAGUAGUCC